AUUGAACGCUGGCGGCAGGCUUAACACAUGCAAGUCGAACGAGUGGCGGACGGGUGAGUAAUGUAUGGGGACUGCCCGAUAGAGGGGGAUAACUACUGGAAACGGUGGCUAAUACCGCAUACUAUCGGAUAACCCAUAUGGGAUUAGCUUGUAGGUGAGGUAACGGCUCACCUAGGCGACGAUCCCUAGCUGGUCUGAGAGGAUGAUCAGCCACACUGGGACUGAGACACGGCCCAGACUCCUACGGAGGCAGCAGUGGGGAAUAUUGCACAAUGGGCGCAAGCCUGAUGCAGCCAUGCCGCGUGUAUGAAGAAGGCCUUCGGGUUGUAAAGUACUUUCAGUCGGGAGGCGUUACCGACAGAAGAAGCACCGGCUAACUCCGUGCCAGCAGCCGCGGUAAUAC
RNAcentral lists this ribosomal RNA (403 nucleotides) under uncultured bacterium. RNAcentral's name for it is "partial 16S ribosomal RNA". It matches the Rfam family "Bacterial small subunit ribosomal RNA", at positions 30 to 526 of the family's 1533-position model. The record is from RNAcentral.